RNAcentral lists this long non-coding RNA (340 nucleotides) under Brassica napus (rape). RNAcentral describes it as "long non-coding RNA (BNAP_LNC015194)". The record is from RNAcentral. Lineage: Eukaryota; Viridiplantae; Streptophyta; Magnoliopsida; Brassicales; Brassicaceae.
GGGUUUUAUGUGUUCUAAAUGUUAAUAUCUUGGGUUUGGGGAGUGAGAAAUAUGAGAAAGAUGAAUAAAAGAGUGUCAUUAGAAAAGAAAAUUCUAGGGACAAAAGGAAAAUAUGAAGCUCUAGGUUAUGUACAAAAGAACCUUCCCCCUUAAAAAAAAAAAAAAAAAAAAAGAGAGAAAAAGAAUCAAAGAGAAAGUGGGGAAGGAAAUGAGAAAGAGUUAGAGUUAAGUGUUGUAAAGAAAAUGAAUUAAAGUCCCUAGUUGGUUGAGUCAAAAGAAAAAGAGAGUUGUUCAUUGGGCGAGUGAUGUGAGUGGGUUUUAUUUUGGUUUUGAGAUGAUG